RNAcentral lists this ribosomal RNA (492 nucleotides) under uncultured bacterium. RNAcentral's name for it is "partial 16S ribosomal RNA". It matches the Rfam family "Bacterial small subunit ribosomal RNA", at positions 29 to 507 of the family's 1533-position model. The record is from RNAcentral.
AGUGAACGCUGGCGGUAGGCCUAACACAUGCAAGUCGAACGGCAGCACAGUAAGAGCUUGCUCUUACGGGUGGCGAGUGGCGGACGGGUGAGGAAUACAUCGGAAUCUACUUUUUCGUGGGGGAUAACGUAGGGAAACUUACGCUAAUACCGCAUACGACCUACGGGUGAAAGCAGGGGAUCUUCGGACCUUGCGCGAUUGAAUGAGCCGAUGUCGGAUUAGCUAGUUGGCGGGGUAAAGGCCCACCAAGGCGACGAUCCGUAGCUGGUCUGAGAGGAUGGUCAGCCACACUGGAAGUGAGACACGGUCAAGACUCCUACGGGAGGCAGCAGUGGGGAAUAUUGGACAAUGGGCGCAAGCCUGAUCCAGCCAGACCGCGUGGGUGAAGAAGGCCUUCGGGUUGUAAAGCCCUUUUGUUGGGAAAGAAAAGCAGCAGGUUAAUACCCAGCUGUUCUGACGGUAACCAAAGAAUAAGCACCGGCUAACUUCGUG